GCUUACGGCCACACGGCCUGAGUACUCGUCCGAUCUCGGAAGCUAAGCAGGGUCGGGCCUGGUUAGUACUUGGAUGGGAGACCGCCUGGGAAUACCAGGUGCUGUAAGCU
This 110-nucleotide ribosomal RNA is filed under the name Oncorhynchus mykiss (rainbow trout). The record is from RNAcentral. Lineage: Eukaryota; Metazoa; Chordata; Actinopteri; Salmoniformes; Salmonidae.